Molecule: ribosomal RNA, 450 nt
Filed under: uncultured bacterium
Lineage: Bacteria
Description: partial 16S ribosomal RNA
Rfam family: Bacterial small subunit ribosomal RNA
Source: RNAcentral
GUGGGGAAUAUUGGACAAUGGGCGAAAGCCUGAUCCAGCCAUGCCGCGUGUGUGAAGAAGGUCUUCGGAUUGUAAAGCACUUUAAGUUGGGAGGAAGGGCAGUAAGUUAAUACCUUGCUGUUUUGACGUUACCGACAGAAUAAGCACCGGCUAACUUCGUGCCAGCAGCCGCGGUAAUACGAAGGGUGCAAGCGUUAAUCGGAAUUACUGGGCGUAAAGCGCGCGUAGGUGGUUUUGUAAGUUGGAGGUGAAAUGCCCGGGCUCAACCUGGGAACUGCCUCCAAAACUGCAUGACUAGAGUACGGUAGAGGGUAGUGGAAUUUCCUGUGUAGCGGUGAAAUGCGUAGAUAUAGGAAGGAACACCAGUGGCGAAGGCGACUACCUGGACUGAUACUGACACUGAGGUGCGAAAGCGUGGGGAGCAAACAGGAUUAGAAACCCUGGUAGUCC